This 490-nucleotide ribosomal RNA is filed under the name uncultured bacterium. RNAcentral's name for it is "partial 16S ribosomal RNA". It matches the Rfam family "Bacterial small subunit ribosomal RNA", at positions 30 to 507 of the family's 1533-position model. The record is from RNAcentral.
AUUGAACGCUGGCGGCAGGCCUAACACAUGCAAGUCGAAUGGUAACAGGAAGCAGCUUGCUGUUUCGCUGACGAGUGGCGGACGGGUGAGUAAUGUCUGGGAAACUGCCUGAUGGAGGGGGAUAACUACUGGAAACGGUAGCUAAUACCGCAUAACGUCGCAAGACCAAAGAGGGGGACCUUCGGGCCUCUUGCCAUCAGAUGUGCCCAGAUGGGAUUAGCUAGUAGGUGGGGUAACGGCUCACCUAGGCGACGAUCCCUAGCUGGUCUGAGAGGAUGACCAGCCACACUGGAACUGAGACACGGUCCAGACUCCUACGGGAGGCAGCAGUGGGGAAUAUUGCACAAUGGGCGCAAGCCUGAUGCAGCCAUGCCGCGUGUAUGAAGAAGGCAUUCGGGUUGUAAAGUACUUUCAGCGGGGAGGAAGGGAGUAAAGUUAAUACCUUUGCUCAUUGACGUUACCCGCAGAAGAAGCACCGGCUAACUCCGUG